RNAcentral lists this ribosomal RNA (341 nucleotides) under uncultured Pseudomonadota bacterium. RNAcentral describes it as "bacterial SSU rRNA". It matches the Rfam family "Bacterial small subunit ribosomal RNA", at positions 29 to 351 of the family's 1533-position model. Lineage: Bacteria; Pseudomonadati; Pseudomonadota. The record is from RNAcentral.
AACGAACGCUGGCGGCGUGCCUAACACAUGCAAGUCGAACGAGAAAGCUUGGGCAACUGAGUGAGUAAAGUGGCGCACGGGUGAGUAACACGUGGGUAACCUACCCUUGAGUUGGGGAUAACUCCGCGAAAGCGGGGCUAAUACCGAAUAAUAUUUUGAGGUCCUCGGACCUUGCAACCAAAGAUGGCCUCUGCAUGCAAGCUAUCGCUUAAGGAUGGGCCCGCGUACCAUUAGCUAGUUGGCAGGGUAAUGGCCUACCAAGGCAACGAUGGUUAGCUGGUCUGAGAGGAUGGCCAGCCACACUGGAACUGAGAUACGGUCCAGACUCCUACGGGUGGCUG